GGAGAGGUAUUGAGGUGUUGAGACAGGUCCAAUUCUCUCUUGCCUCUAUUUCCAUUUUCCUAUCAGAACUUCAGGAUGAGAGGUGAAUUUAUAAACAGGACUGCGGCCGUCUAGCCGGAUAACAACACAUAUUGAAAAAGAAAGGAGGCCCUAACAGUCUAAAUCACUGAUCGCCAACCAGUGGGUCAUGACCAACAUGUUUCUCACCAAUCCCCUUGGAUGUUGCACACAGUGGCCUCAAAGGCUGUGGUAGCUCCAGGGUUCCAAAAGGUUUCAAUAGGCGCACUUUUAUGGAUUUCAGAAGAAAGGCAUCAGUAGGCGCAACAUCUGCACUGGGACUGACUGACUUCAUUCGUACAUGACCGCUUAUCUAUCGCCUCUGAAUGUUAUAAUUUCACAUCUUCUGUUUUCUUACAGUAAGCAAAUAAAUGAAACCCCUGUUUAUCAAUAGAGAAACCCUUACUAGUAUGAAAAAUUGGAUUCUCUUGAGUCUUCCAUAUUCAAAUAUAAAUAGAGUUGGGGAGCAACACAUGGAUGAAAAAAGUUCCUGGGGUGCCAAAUAAGGGAUAUGAUUGGCAAUAGGUAGCCCCUAUAUGGACAGGCAGCCUACAGG
This is a long non-coding RNA of Xenopus laevis (African clawed frog), 613 nucleotides long. RefSeq lists it as uncharacterized. The transcript is spliced from 3 exons. The record is from RefSeq and is a predicted model, not a curated record. NCBI's taxonomy places the organism in Eukaryota, Metazoa, Chordata, Amphibia, Anura, Pipidae.